UGGGUAACCUGCCUCAAAGAGGGGAAUAGCCUUCCGAAAGGAAGAUUAAUACCGCAUAAUAUGUUUUGGUCGCAUGAUCGAAACAUCAAAGGAGUAAUCCGCUUUGAGAUGGACCCGCGGCGCAUUAGCUAGUUGGUGGGGUAACGGCUCACCAAGGCGACGAUGCGUAGCCGACCUGAGAGGGUGAUCGGCCACAUUGGAACUGAGACACGGUCCAGACUCCUACGGGAGGNAG
Molecule: ribosomal RNA, 235 nt
Filed under: uncultured bacterium
Lineage: Bacteria
Description: partial 16S ribosomal RNA
Rfam family: Bacterial small subunit ribosomal RNA
Source: RNAcentral